GACCUCAGAAUUACUACUGGAAAAAAAAAGGACAAUAUGUAGAAGAUCUUGGUCAUUCCAGGAGCAUUGAAGUUUCACCGGAGGCUGCUGACAGUUACUCAUGUUUUCUUAUUGAAGAUCUUAAGAACUCCUCCUCUCCUGUGUGCAAUUCUAAGAGUGGCUGCUGGGAUGUGACUUACACCUCUAGAAGAGUCUGUGCUUUGGUCGGCUCAACAGUAGACAUUUCCUGCACAUAUUCACUUCCCUCUGGUUAUACUGUAAAUAAAACAUUCUGGCACUACCCAUCUGGGGGCUUCAAGGAUAUGCGUGAGGAGCAUCAGUUUGCUGGUCGUGUGGAGUAUGUGGGGAACAAACUGAGAAUCAAAGAGCUCAAGAUCAGCGACUCUGGAGAAUAUCUAUUCAGGAUCAUCACUGACUUAAACCAAUACUCUGGAUCACCUGGAGUCAAUCUUACUGUUACAGAUGCGCAGAUGAAAAAAUCUCA
Molecule: long non-coding RNA, 484 nt
Organism: Cyprinus carpio (common carp)
Lineage: Eukaryota; Metazoa; Chordata; Actinopteri; Cypriniformes; Cyprinidae
Exons: 3
Source: RefSeq, a predicted model, not a curated record